CGCCUGUUUAUCAAAAACAUCGCCUCUUGUAAAGAUAAAAUAAGAGGUACCGCCUGCCCUGUGACUAAAAGUUUAACGGCCGCGGUAUUUUGACCGUGCAAAGGUAGCGCAAUCACUUGCCUUUUAAAUGAGGGCCUGUAUGAAUGGCAUAACGAGGGCUUAACUGUCUCCUCUCCCUAGUCAAUGAAAUUGAUCUCCCCGUGCAGAAGCGGGGAUAAAAACAUAAGACGAGAAGACCCUGUGGAGCUUUAGACCAUAAACAGACCAUGUCAAGGACAACAACAAAUUACUCAAACAAAUUGGCUACUGUUUUUAUGUCUUUGGUUGGGGCGACCGCGGGAAAAUAAGAAUCUCCCACGAGGAUAGAGAAAACCCUAUUCUUAUAACCAAGAGCUUCCUCUCUAAGUAACAGAACAUCUGACCUUUAUGAUCCGGCCUGGCCGAUCAACGGACCGAGUUACCCCAGGGAUAACAGCGCAAUCCUCUUUUAGAGUCCAUAUCGACAAGGGGGUUUACGACCUCGAUGUUGGAUCAGGACAUCCUAAUGGUGCAGCCGCUAUUAAGGGUUUGUUUGUUCAACAAUUAAAGUCCUACGUGAUCUGAGUUCAGACCGG
This 614-nucleotide ribosomal RNA is filed under the name Oryzias latipes (Japanese medaka). RNAcentral describes it as "partial 16S ribosomal RNA". It matches the Rfam family "Bacterial large subunit ribosomal RNA", at positions 1797 to 2619 of the family's 2925-position model. Lineage: Eukaryota; Metazoa; Chordata; Actinopteri; Beloniformes; Adrianichthyidae. The record is from RNAcentral.